UACAGAGGGGGCAAGCGUUGUUCGGAAUUACUGGGCGUAAAGGGCUCGUAGGUGGCCAACUAAGUCAGACGUGAAAUCCCUCGGCUUAACCGGGGAACUGCGUCUGAUACUGGAUGGCUUGAGAUUGGGAGAGGGAUGCGGAAUUCCAGGUGUAGUGGUGAAAUGCGUAGAUAUCUGGAGGAACACCGGUGGCGAAGGCGGCAUCCUGGACCAACACUGACGCUGAGGAGCGAAAGCCAGGGGAGCAAACGGG
RNAcentral lists this ribosomal RNA (253 nucleotides) under uncultured bacterium. RNAcentral describes it as "partial 16S ribosomal RNA". It matches the Rfam family "Bacterial small subunit ribosomal RNA", at positions 524 to 776 of the family's 1533-position model. The record is from RNAcentral.